Molecule: long non-coding RNA, 1145 nt
Filed under: Phasianus colchicus (ring-necked pheasant)
Lineage: Eukaryota; Metazoa; Chordata; Aves; Galliformes; Phasianidae
Description: lncRNA (ENSPCLG00000009178.1)
Source: RNAcentral
GUAGAAUACUUUUUAUUUUCUAGAAUAAUUCACUUUCUUCUGAAAGCAAAUUGUCACGCCUAAAAGAUACAAGUGCUUUAAUUAAGGAUGGAUGUCUUUCUAAAGGAAUUUCUCCAGCUCAGCUGGGCACCACUAAGCUCAAAGCAGGAACUGGACUGAGAACUUCCCACAACAGACCAUUGCCUCAGCUGGGCAGCACAGCCACACUGGGAGGACCUUCCCUGCCUCUAUGCUGCAGCACUGAGUUUUGGAAGAUUCCUGCUACAGCACAUUAUUUUGGAAAAGGAUCUGAAACUGAAAGAUGAGCUGUCUUUGCUGUUCUUUAGAACAGAAGGGUACAGCAUUAGAGGACUCAUGUGAGGCAUCCUCAGCCUUCUGUAGCAAACGCUACUGGCUGCUAUGAACAACUCAGCCAUAGAUGGAUGGAUAGAUUUUUUUGCUGUUGUCCGUCCAUCUCAGGUGUCCAUUCCCUACCUUUCACCACACCCACAGCUGGGAAUUGCUCAGGAUGUCUGUGAUAAGGGAAGCUGGAGAAAAUGAGGUGAGAGUAUAGGAGGGGAAGGGGCAAUAUCAACCACUGUAUCAGGUUCUCUGCUAUAUCCAGCAAUCACAUCAGAGGAAGUCCUGCCAAGAAAAUGAGGAAAAGGUUUGUUCUGAAGUCUUCUUCCUAAUAUAUAUAUAGAUAUACAGAUAUGCAGAUCAUGAAGCAGUUGAACAGUGGAGUUUGUUCCUAUACUUUUUCAUUCUAGAUUUGAGCACUCGGGAUCAGGUUGUAAAUAAGACAAUCAGUCCAUGGGGGCAGAACGACACACAAGGGAAAACAGCAUAAAUUAUCAUGAUCUUCAAAUCACUCAGACUUAACCCAGCAGCAAGGAAGUCUUUUGACAGAACAGCAUGGAGCUCUUGCCCUGGAAGACUGGCUGGUAUCUUCCAAGUCUCUGCAGCUCCUAGGACUCAAGGGUCACAGCAGAUGCCCCUAAUUCAGGUGAGCACAUGAACUAUAAAAGCAGAUUACAUCUAUACAUGCUUCUUGAGUCACCUGCACAAUGGACAUCAUUGCACCAGCUGUUCAUCAACCCUAAUGGAAGGUAAAGAAAAGAAAUGCUAGUGUCUGCUUCAGUACUUCAGGCUAGUAAUUAUACUGA